This 252-nucleotide ribosomal RNA is filed under the name uncultured bacterium. RNAcentral describes it as "partial 16S ribosomal RNA". It matches the Rfam family "Bacterial small subunit ribosomal RNA", at positions 524 to 776 of the family's 1533-position model. The record is from RNAcentral.
UACGGGGGGGCAAGCGUUGUUCGGCAUUACUGGGCGUAAAGGGCUCGUAGGCGGCCAACUAAGUCAGACGUGUAAUCCCUCGGCUUAACCGGGGAACUGCGUCUGAUACUGGAUGGCUUGAGUUUGGGAGAGGGACGCGGAAUUCCAGGUGUAGCGGUGAAAUGCGCAGAGAUCGGGAGGAAGGCCGGUGGCGAAGGCGGCGCUCUGGAACAUUUCUGACGCUGAGGCUCGAAAGCGUGGGGAGCAAACAGG